Molecule: non-coding RNA, 72 nt
Organism: Podarcis lilfordi (Lilford's wall lizard)
Lineage: Eukaryota; Metazoa; Chordata; Lepidosauria; Squamata; Lacertidae
Source: the annotation of a GenBank genome assembly
GCCCUUUGCUCAGUUAUUAGAGGACGAGGCUCCUAAUCUCAGGGGUUGUGGGUUCGAGUCCCACAUUGGGCA